CCUACGGGAGGCAGCAGUGAGGAAUAUUGGGCAAUGGGCGCGAGCCUGAACCAGCAAAGCAGCGUGAAGGAUGACGGCCCUACGGGUGGUAAACUUCUUUUAUAAAGGAAUAAAGUGAGGCACGUGUGCCUUUUUGCAUGUACCUUAUGAAUAAGGAUCGGCUAACUCCGUGCCAGCAGCCGCGGUAAUACGGAGGAUCCGAGCGUUAUCCGGAUUUAUUGGGUUUAAAGGGAGCGUAGUUGGGUUGUUAAGUCAGUUGUGAAAGUUUGCGGCUCAACCGUAAAAUUGCAAUUGAUACUGGCAGUCUUGAGUGCAGUUGAGGUAGGCGGAAUUCGUGGUGUAGCGGUGAAAUGCUUAGAUAUCACGAAGAACUCCGAUUGCGAAGGCAGCUUACUAGACUGUAACUGACGUUGAUGCUCGAAAGUGUGGGUAUCAAACAGGAUUAGAUACCCUUGUAGUC
Molecule: ribosomal RNA, 460 nt
Filed under: uncultured bacterium
Lineage: Bacteria
Description: partial 16S ribosomal RNA
Rfam family: Bacterial small subunit ribosomal RNA
Source: RNAcentral